AUACGUAGGCAGCAAGCGUUGUUCGGAAUUACUGGGCGUAAAGGGUGCGUAGGCGGCGCUGUAAGUUUGGUGUGAAAUCUCCCGGCUUAACUGGGAGGGUGCACUGAAAACUGGAGCGCUCGAGUAUGGGAGAGGAAAGCGGAAUUCCUGGUGUAGCGGUGAAAUGCGUAGAGAUCAGGAGGAACACCUGCGGUGUAGACGGCUUUCUGGACCAUCACUGACGCUGAGGCACGAAAGCGUGGGUAGC
RNAcentral lists this ribosomal RNA (247 nucleotides) under uncultured bacterium. RNAcentral's name for it is "partial 16S ribosomal RNA". It matches the Rfam family "Bacterial small subunit ribosomal RNA", at positions 523 to 769 of the family's 1533-position model. The record is from RNAcentral.